ACCGGGCAUGCUCAGUACGGCGAGUGAGCGGCAAAGCUCAAAUUUGAAAUCCCCCGGGAAUUGUAAUUUGAAGAGAUUUGGGUCCGGCCGGCGGGGGUUAAGUCCACUGGAAAGUGGCGCCACAGAGGGUGACAGCCCCGUGAACCCCUUCAACGCCUUCAUCCCAGAUCUCCAAGAGUCGAGUUGUUUGGGAAUGCAGCUCUAAGUGGGUGGUAAAUUCCAUCUAAAGCUAAAUACCGGCGAGAGACCGAUAGCGAACAAGUACAGUGAUGGAAAGAUGAAAAGCACUUUGAAAAGAGAGUGAAAAAGUACGUGAAAUUGUUGAAAGGGAAGGGCUUGCAAGCAGACACUUAACUGGGCCAGCAUCGGGGCGGCGGGAAACAAAACCACCGGGGAAUGUACCUUUCGAGGAUUAUAACCCCGGUCUCAAUUCCCUUGUUGCCCCGAGGCCUGCAAUCUAAGGAUGCUGGCGUAAUGGUUGCAAGUCGCCCGUCUUGAACCACGGACCA
This 509-nucleotide ribosomal RNA is filed under the name Metschnikowia pulcherrima. Its description in RNAcentral is "partial large subunit ribosomal RNA". It matches the Rfam family "Eukaryotic large subunit ribosomal RNA", at positions 68 to 668 of the family's 3401-position model. The record is from RNAcentral. Lineage: Eukaryota; Fungi; Ascomycota; Pichiomycetes; Serinales; Metschnikowiaceae.